GUGGCUCAGUGGUUAAGAGCACUGGCUGUGCUUCCAGAGGCCCUGGGUUCAUUUCCCAGC
This 60-nucleotide transfer RNA is filed under the name Cricetulus griseus (Chinese hamster). It matches the Rfam family "tRNA", at positions 7 to 64 of the family's 71-position model. From Rfam's summary of the family: Transfer RNA (tRNA) molecules are approximately 80 nucleotides in length. Their secondary structure includes four short double-helical elements and three loops (D, anti-codon, and T loops). Lineage: Eukaryota; Metazoa; Chordata; Mammalia; Rodentia; Cricetidae. The record is from Rfam by way of RNAcentral.